CGGACAGGAUGUGAUAUCGACCGCAAUUUGUAUAUAAACAUGUGUUUAUAUCGUUUCUACACACAUUUCUGAAAGCGACAUAAGAUACCAUGAGGUACGCGAUUGUUGUAGCGGUGUUCCUUUGCCUUGCUAUGUCCGGUUUGGACAUAGUGACAGUGUCUGCACAAUGUCCCAAUGGUAGGGAGGAAAACGGCCCAUGCGAACCGCCAUGGGUCGCUCAAGAACUAUGUAGCCCUGGAUUCGAGUGCGUGAACGAGAUUUGUUGCAAAUCCGCCAAUACAUCUGAGACUACAAGGACACCAAUUCCGGUCGACGAAUGUGGCAAAUAGGCAGUGCGAACAGGAAGCUGUUCAAAAGCUGAUCAACGAUGUCCAGCCGGAGGUUCAUGUAGAGCCCCGGGGAUUUGCUGCAAGCGAAGAAACUGAUUGAGAUUUAUAAAUAUUUUCUGAAUUACAUGGACAGAAUUGUAAAGUGCAGUAGCUGAUCAAUGGACAAUUAAGGAAAAAGUGUGAUAUUGUUGACACGAAUUAUGUUAACGUCUUGCUGAUUAGUUUGAUUGAAAUAUAGUUUUCUCGCUUUUUGCUACAGUUUCUGUAAAAUGUGUAAUUUAACACACACGUUUUUGAUAUGAUACGAUUGCUAAAUAUGGUCAUAAUGUGCCAUACAAAAAUAUUUAGACCUGU
Molecule: long non-coding RNA, 683 nt
Organism: Dreissena polymorpha
Lineage: Eukaryota; Metazoa; Mollusca; Bivalvia; Myida; Dreissenidae
Exons: 4
Source: RefSeq, a predicted model, not a curated record